AGUUUCACCUUCAGACAAAGGCCAAGCCACGGGCUGAUAACUUUUCUGGAUUUAAGACCUGAACUCUAGAGCAGUAUCUGCUCUGCUGACAGAAGUCUAAGGCAAGAGUUUCAGAAGCAAUUCUGAAGUAAAAGCAGAUGUAGGAAUGUGCAUGCACAUUACAGAUUAUGAAGAACUCUGAAUAUGGAAUUGUAAGCCAGAUUUAACGCAUACUCCUAGAAGAUGAUGAGCUUAGGAUUUAUAAGGAAAAGACUUUCCUACCAGGAGGACAGUCAAGCAGUAGACCAGCUGCCCAGAGGAGCUGUGCAGUCUCUGUCUCUGGAGGUUUCUAAGACCCGACUGGAAAAAACCUUGAGCAACCUGGUUUGACCUCAUACCUGACCCUGUUCUGAGCAAGAGGCUGAACUACAUGACAUCCUGAGGUUCCU
Long non-coding RNA from Rhea pennata, 428 nucleotides. RefSeq lists it as uncharacterized. Lineage: Eukaryota; Metazoa; Chordata; Aves; Rheiformes; Rheidae. The transcript is spliced from 3 exons. The record is from RefSeq and is a predicted model, not a curated record.